AACAGGAUUAGAUACCCUGGUAGUCCUCGCUGUAAACGAUGUCGACUUGGAGGUUGUGCCCUUGAGGCGUGGCUUCCGGAGCUAACGCGUUAAGUCGACCGCCUGGGGAGUGCGGCCGCAAGGUUAAAACUCAAAUGAAUUGACGGGGGCCCGCACAAGCGGUGGAGCAUGUGGUUUAAUUCGAUGCAACGCGAAGAACCUUACCUACUCUUGACAUCCAGAGAAUUUGCUAGAGAUAGCUUAGUGCCUUCGGGAACUCUGAGACAGGUGCUGCAUGGCUGUCGUCAGCUCGUGUUGUGAAAUGUUGGGUUAAGUCCCGCAACGAGCGCAACCCUUAUCCUUUGUUGCCAGCGAGUAAUGUCGGGAACUCAAAGGAGACUGCCGGUGAUAAACCGGAGGAAGGUGGGAAUGACGUCAAGUCAUCAUGGCCCUUACGAGUAGGGCUACACACGUGCUACAAUGGCAUAUACAAAGAGAAGCGAACUCGCGAGAGCAAGCGGACCUCAUAAAGUAUGUCGUAGUCCGGAUUGGAGUCUGCAACUCGACUCCAUGAAGUCGGAAUCGCUAGUAAUCGUAGAUCAGAAUGCUACGGUGAAUACGUUCCCGGGCCUUGUACACACCGCCCGUCACACCAUGGGAGUGGGUUGCAAAAGAAGUAGGUAGCUUAACCUUCGGGAGGGCGCUUACCACUUUGUGAUUCAUGACUGGGGUGAAGUCGUAACAAGGUAACC
RNAcentral lists this ribosomal RNA (731 nucleotides) under uncultured bacterium. RNAcentral's name for it is "bacterial SSU rRNA". It matches the Rfam family "Bacterial small subunit ribosomal RNA", at positions 771 to 1501 of the family's 1533-position model. The record is from RNAcentral.